Brienomyrus brachyistius is the source of this 640-nucleotide long non-coding RNA. RefSeq lists it as uncharacterized. The transcript is spliced from 3 exons. NCBI's taxonomy places the organism in Eukaryota, Metazoa, Chordata, Actinopteri, Osteoglossiformes, Mormyridae. The record is from RefSeq and is a predicted model, not a curated record.
UCAAAAUAUUGGAUUACUCCAAGUUGGUUACAUUGAUUUAACUGUUAUCUGAAAGUUCCAAAGCAAACAAUUGUGUUGUCUGUUUAUGUGGACAUUGCGAUCAUUGUUUUGAUCUUUCGGUUUCUAAAGUGUCGUAUACAUCUCGGACAUAAUGAGGAAAGUAUGUGGCUACUUCUCUAACGGCAAGAGUGUUUACCGAGACGGAGUGAAGGUUCGGCUCAAACCUCCCUCCCUGACGCAGUAAAACCGAGCGAGUCAUAGAGGAGACUGAUGAAGGUCACGCUGGUAAGCUCCUACGUACAGCCUCUGCAGGGCUGUUGCAUAAAUCAAGCCCGUAGAUCUGCAGGCUCAAGCAGCCAGAUGUGUCAGCUUGCAAGUAAAAUACAUCUUCUUAAGGGUACGGGGGGUCUGAGGACAUAAUUCCACUGACAGGAAGUAUGGCCGGGGAUCCCCACAUGGGACGAUAACCCCCCAAGGCUUUCAAACACACCAAAACGAAGAGCUUUCAAAUGAACAAAAAGUUAAACACAGGAUAUUAUACCUCCUUUCUACAUCCCAAGUGCCAGCACGGGCCUCUAAAGGAACCAAAUAUCAAUCCAGCAAAAAAGGAGAAUGAAAACAAAAGAAAAAUACCUGCUGA